GUGUGUAAUCCCUUCAGCAGCACAUAUACUAAAAUUGGAAUGAUACAGAGAUGAUUAGCAUGGCCCCUGCGCAAGGAUGACAUGCAAAUUCGUGAAGAGAAAGAGAGAGAA
This is a small nuclear RNA of Dromiciops gliroides (monito del monte), 111 nucleotides long. The record is from RefSeq and is a predicted model, not a curated record. NCBI's taxonomy places the organism in Eukaryota, Metazoa, Chordata, Mammalia, Microbiotheria, Microbiotheriidae.